GUACGCGAGCUGGGUUUAGAACGUCGUGAGACAGUUCGGUCCCUAUCUGCCGUGGGCGCUGGAGAAUUGAGGGGGGCUGCUCCUAGUACGAGAGGACCGGAGUGGACGCAUCACUGGUGUUCGGGUUGUCAUGCCAAUGGCACUGCCCGGUAGCUAAAUGCGGAAGAGAUAAGUGCUGAAAGCAUCUAAGCACGAAACUUGCCCCGAGAUGAGUUCUCCCUGAGACUUUAAGUCUCCUGAAGGAACGUUGAAGACGACGACGUUGAUAGGCCGGGUGUGUAAGCGCAGCGAUGCGUUGAGCUAACCGGUACUAAUGAACCGUGAGGCUUAACCUUACAACGCCGAAG
RNAcentral lists this ribosomal RNA (347 nucleotides) under Klebsiella pneumoniae. RNAcentral's name for it is "partial 23S ribosomal RNA". It matches the Rfam family "Bacterial large subunit ribosomal RNA", at positions 2596 to 2925 of the family's 2925-position model. The record is from RNAcentral. Lineage: Bacteria; Pseudomonadati; Pseudomonadota; Gammaproteobacteria; Enterobacterales; Enterobacteriaceae.